RNAcentral lists this ribosomal RNA (203 nucleotides) under uncultured bacterium. Its description in RNAcentral is "partial 16S ribosomal RNA". It matches the Rfam family "Bacterial small subunit ribosomal RNA", at positions 524 to 726 of the family's 1533-position model. The record is from RNAcentral.
UACGUAGGGUGCAAGCGUUGUCCGGAAUUAUUGGGCGUAAAGAGCUCGUAGGCGGUUUGUCGCGUCUGCUGUGAAAACUCAGGGCUUAACUCUGAGCUUGCAGUGGGUACGGGCAGACUUGAGUGCGGUAGGGGAGACUGGAAUUCCUGGUGUAGCGGUGAAAUGCGCAGAUAUCAGGAGGAACACCGGUGGCGAAGGCGGGU